Molecule: non-coding RNA, 836 nt
Filed under: Pongo abelii (Sumatran orangutan)
Lineage: Eukaryota; Metazoa; Chordata; Mammalia; Primates; Hominidae
Source: RNAcentral
GAAAGUCGAGAUGGACCGUGUGGGACCCCUUCUCUCCCCGCCCCCAGGCCGCAGUUCGGGGGCCACGCCCCGGCGUUCUCGGGUCACCGCAGGAAGCCCUUGAACCCCCUGGCGCCCGGCACCCACAUGCGGUAACCGCGGCUCCUCGAGAGCUCCAGGGAUGCGGAUCUGCAGUAAGGGCUGUGGCCAGAUGAAUGAAUGCACAUUUUUUAGUGGGCAAAAAGAUGUUAGGAUUCAUGAAUUAGAAUAAGCACAAAGGAGGGCGAGAGGGGAGGCCGUGGAAGCCACAUUACUCCCCUUGCCUUGGGCGCCCACCCCCGAAGGGGCGCGUCCCCACCCUGCUCCACUGCACGUGGGUGUUUAACCAGGGGAUGUCCAGUGCCUCAAGCACCACGACCUGGGAGAAAACUGAGUUGAGAAGGGUCCAUUCAAGACUUGUGCCCACAAUAUACCAGGCACUUGUCCAGACCUACAUCACCCAAUGCCCACCUCGGCCUCUCAAAGGGUUGGGAUUACAGGCGUGAGCCACCGCGCCCUGCCUGCAUGUGGCUAUUGAGAUGUGCUGUAUGAUACACACCGGACUUUGAAGACUCAGUGUGAAAAAUAAAAAGAAUUUUAAGAGGGGUGGGGGUCGAGGGGAGGCAGAGCAGUAGGAGAAAUAGCUAAUGCAUGCAGGGCUUAAAACCUAGACAACAGGUUGAUGGGUGCAGCAAACCACCAUGACACGUUUAUCUAUAUAGCACCUACAUGUUCUGCACUUGUAUCCUGGAACUUAAAAUUAGAAAAAAAAUAAUAAUAAAAGCCAACAUGGCAUUCAUUACUGCCAAAAAAAAUUA